This 417-nucleotide long non-coding RNA is filed under the name Lepeophtheirus salmonis (salmon louse). Its description in RNAcentral is "uncharacterized LOC121118350". The record is from RNAcentral. Lineage: Eukaryota; Metazoa; Arthropoda; Copepoda; Siphonostomatoida; Caligidae.
AUUUAAAGCCUUCGUCACAUCAACAUCCUAAAAAGAGCUAGUCAAAAACUCAAAAAAUACAACAUCAUGUAUGCUGAGGGAAUGUACAUCAAUUAUAACAAAGCAAACUCCGUCUGUGGAUCUCGACUCAAAUACAGACAUGAGUACUCCUCAUCCCUAUCUCUAGCCUCGACCUCAUCUUCUUCAUCCUCCAAGGAGAUCAGCUCCAGAAACGAUCAACGGAGAGCUAGCUAUGGAAGUACGACAAAGAAAUCGAUGUGAUAAUGAAAAUCACUAAUCGAUUAUUCUCUCUCCACUGAGUGUAUUCUCUCCUAAAAAGUACAAAAAUAAGACAUUAAUAUGUCUUGCUAUUUUAUGAAGUUAUAAUAUGUUUUUAAUGUUUGUUAUAUUAAUGAUCAAUAAAGUAAAAAUACUCAA